This 447-nucleotide ribosomal RNA is filed under the name uncultured bacterium. Its description in RNAcentral is "bacterial SSU rRNA". It matches the Rfam family "Bacterial small subunit ribosomal RNA", at positions 355 to 825 of the family's 1533-position model. The record is from RNAcentral.
UCGGGAAUUUUGGGCAAUGGGCGAAAGCCUGACCCAGCAACGCCGCGUGAAGGAUGAAGUAUUUCGGUAUGUAAACUUCGAAAGAAUAGGAAGAAUAAAUGACGGUACUAUUUAUAAGGUCCGGCUAACUACGUACCAGCAGCCGCGGUAAUACGUAGGGACCAAGCGUUGUUCGGAUUUACUGGGCGUAAAGGGCGCGUAGGCGGCAAUUCAAGUCAUCUGUGAAAUCUCCGGGCUUAACUCGGAACGGUCAGAUGAUACUGCUUUGCUAGAGUGCAGAAGGGGCAAUCGGAAUUCUUGGUGUAGCGGUGAAAUGCGUAGAUAUCAAGAGGAACACCUGAGGUGAAGACGGGUUGCUGGGCUGACACUGACGCUGAGGCGCGAAAGCCAGGGGAGCAAACGGGAUUAGAUACCCCCGUAGUCCCUGAGCGGGCUGGCAAGGCGCAU